CCCUGUGGGUAUAUCACCCUGCAGCUCACCACUGGCAGCCCACUGCUAAGCAGGUGUGAGCCUGGUCAGUACCUGGAGGGGAGACCUCCUGGGAAAGCUGAGGUUGCUGCUGGAA
RNAcentral lists this ribosomal RNA (115 nucleotides) under Lepisosteus oculatus (spotted gar). Lineage: Eukaryota; Metazoa; Chordata; Actinopteri; Semionotiformes; Lepisosteidae. The record is from RNAcentral.